AAAUAGAACUUUGCAGAGAGAGUUAACAGGGCGUGAAACCGUUAAUUGGCAAACGAAUCGGAGCCACGAAGUCGUUUCGCUGAUAGUUGGGUCGGGUUCAGCUUGGAAAUACCAAUUUUCAGGUGUAUUCUCGUGCUCGACCAUCUUUGUAAGCGUACACUGCAACCAGUUAGACGAUUGGCGAUGGGCACAGUCAGGGUCAGUAGUAGUUCGGUCUCUCUUCGGGGUUAUCGAGCUGCUGGGCUCUGGUAAGUGAACUAUCACCAAAUACUGACUGGCACAUUGAAAAUCGCGUUAUGCGUUUCACAAAAUGCGGUUCGCCGUAUGGGUGCCUACGUGCUUGACCAUGGGGUUUUAAGCUCAGCAUCUUUGAAUUUGGGCUUGCUUGCUACCAGUGGGGCAACUCCUGGUGCUUGUAUAGAUUCAUCUAAUCGGGUGUUGACUUGAUUCUAUGUUGCUUGAGUACGAAACGAUUGGGUGCUCAUAUGAGUGGAUUCGCCAUUUGAUUGGCAGUGAGUAGGUCGGCUUUCCGAACGACCCGUCUUGAAACACGGACCAAGGAGUCUAAUUAGGCAUCGAGUCGAUCGGUCUUGUUUAGGCCAGACUGGUGAGCUUUCACCGAUUGAAGGCGAAGAGACAUGUGAUCACGAGACAAACCAGUCUCAGUGCGCAACAUGUGCCUGUUCGUAUAACAAUGUACUUAGUACUUGGGCGGAGCAAAGAGAUGCUUGAUUGGUACCCGAAAGAUGGUGAUGCUUGGGCAAAUUGAAGCCAGAGGAAACUCUGGUGGAGGAUUUAGCUGACGUGCAAAUCGAUCGUCAGACCUGAGUAUAGGGGCGAAAGACUAAUCGAACCAUC
RNAcentral lists this ribosomal RNA (858 nucleotides) under Epitrimerus sp. SC9 2. Its description in RNAcentral is "partial large subunit ribosomal RNA". It matches the Rfam family "Eukaryotic large subunit ribosomal RNA", at positions 366 to 944 of the family's 3401-position model. Lineage: Eukaryota; Metazoa; Arthropoda; Arachnida; Trombidiformes; Eriophyidae. The record is from RNAcentral.